Molecule: ribosomal RNA, 703 nt
Filed under: Hanochironomus tumerestylus
Lineage: Eukaryota; Metazoa; Arthropoda; Insecta; Diptera; Chironomidae
Description: partial large subunit ribosomal RNA
Rfam family: Eukaryotic large subunit ribosomal RNA
Source: RNAcentral
UGUCUUGGGGCUCAAACCUAAAGAACCUAAAUAUCUAAACGGAGAAAUUCAAUACUACCAAAUAAAGUAGUGUGCACUUUUCUCUUAGUAAGACACCGUGAUCCAUUAGAAAUUGAUACAUAUAAAAUGUAUAUUGGGUUAUCAAUAGGCCAAUAUGAAGUUUAUUGGAACAAAUGAUAUAAUCAUAUACGGUUAUGUGUAUUGUCUGAUAAGCAUAUUGUGUUAUCCUGUAAUAACUGUCUGAUGGAUUUUAAAGGUAAUAUCAAUGAUGUUUUUUAUAGCAUCAUUAUUUCUAUUGAUAAAUGGAAAAUAAAUAUGAUAUUUGCCUGAUCAACGGUGGUUAAAUUUGGGAUACCUUUUGGACCCGUCUUGAAACACGGACCAAGGAGUCUAUCUAGUGUGCGAGUAAAUGGAUAAUUUAUGAAAUCUAUUUGCAUAAUAAACUUGACUGUUAUUUUUAAUAAUGGGAAUACGAGAAUAUAUAUGUAUAUGUAUAUUCUCUUCCAUCCCGGGGUAUUUUUAUCAACAUAUGCUUGUCAUAUGAAAAAUAUACCAUGAGCAUACUGGAUACGACCCGAAAGAUGGUGAACUAUGCCUGAUCAGGUCGAAGUCAGGGGAAACCCUGAUGGAGGACCGAAGCAGUUCUGACGUGCAAAUCGAUUGUCAGAAUUGGGCAUAGGGGCGAAAGACCAAUCGAACCAUC